Long non-coding RNA from Nerophis ophidion (straightnose pipefish), 428 nucleotides. RefSeq lists it as uncharacterized. The record is from RefSeq and is a predicted model, not a curated record. NCBI's taxonomy places the organism in Eukaryota, Metazoa, Chordata, Actinopteri, Syngnathiformes, Syngnathidae. The transcript is spliced from 3 exons.
CUGCAGGAGCCAACUACUGAAGCCGUGGGUCGUCGUGCGAGAGUGUUUAAGUGGGAUUUUUCGGCGGAAUUGGCCAUGUUGGAUGGCGAGCUAGAGCCUGAACUAGAGUCUGAAGCUUUAUGCCUGGAACCGAACCAACCGAGCCCCGGGCGGAGUCAAAAACGGGGGAUGUUUUGCCAAGGAAAUACACCCGACUCUCCGGCGACAGGAUAGAAAGGAGGAGACUCGUUGACCUUGGAAAAUGAAGAUGCGGUUGCCACGGCAACUGUUAAUCCCUCUGUCACUCAAAGGCUGACUGACUGGUGAACGCCGACUCUCGCCCGCCUUUCAUGAAAAUUUCUGGUAUGCAUAUUUCCCACGGUGAGGCUUUGCCUCUUUUCUCGAGCGUGCUAGGGUUUUAUUUGAUAUGGAAAUGUGCCAAUAUCCAA